Schistosoma mansoni is the source of this 45-nucleotide non-coding RNA. Lineage: Eukaryota; Metazoa; Platyhelminthes; Trematoda; Strigeidida; Schistosomatidae. The record is from Rfam.
AUCCAGCUGACUAGUCUUAAAUAGGACGAAACACUCGUCCUGAAU